Molecule: ribosomal RNA, 89 nt
Filed under: Paenilisteria rocourtiae
Lineage: Bacteria; Bacillati; Bacillota; Bacilli; Caryophanales; Listeriaceae
Source: RNAcentral
CCCGUUCCCAUCCCGAACACGGAAGUUAAGCUUUUCAGCGCCGAUGGUAGUAGGGGGCUUCCCCCUGUGAGAGUAGGUCGUCGCCGGGC